AUUGAACGCUGGCGGCAGGCCUAAAACAUGCACGUCGAGCGAGCGGCGGACGGGGGAGUAAUGUAUGGGGCCUGCCAGAUAGAGGGGGAUAAAUACUGGAAACGGUGGCUAAUACCGCAUAUGGUAGGAUAAAACAUAUGGGAUUAGAUAGUAGGUAAGGUAAUGGAUUACCUAGGAGACGCUCCCUAGCUGGUCUGAGCGGAUGAUCAGCCACACUGGGACUGAGACACGGCCCAGACUCCUACGGAGGCAGCAGUGGGGAAUAUUGCACAAUGGGCGCAAGCCUGAUGCAGCCAUGCCGCGUGUAUGAAGAAGGCCCUAGGGUUGUAAAGUACUUUCAGUCGGGAGGCGUUACCGACAGAAGAAGCACCGGCUAACUCCGUGCCAGCAGCCGCGGUAAUUC
This 403-nucleotide ribosomal RNA is filed under the name uncultured bacterium. RNAcentral's name for it is "partial 16S ribosomal RNA". It matches the Rfam family "Bacterial small subunit ribosomal RNA", at positions 30 to 526 of the family's 1533-position model. The record is from RNAcentral.